RNAcentral lists this ribosomal RNA (392 nucleotides) under uncultured bacterium. RNAcentral describes it as "partial 16S ribosomal RNA". It matches the Rfam family "Bacterial small subunit ribosomal RNA", at positions 523 to 918 of the family's 1533-position model. The record is from RNAcentral.
AUACGUAGGUGGCAAGCGUUGUCCGGAUUUAUUGGGUUUAAAGGGAGCGUAGGCGGGAGCUUAAGUCAGCGGUUAAAUGGUGCGGCUCAACCGUGCCCUGCCGUUGAAACUGGGUUUCUUGAGAGUGCAAGAGGCGGAUGGAAUUCAUGGUGUAGCGGUGAAAUGCUUAGAUAUCAUGAAGAACUCCGAUUGCGAAGGCAGUCCGCUGGGGCACGUCUGACGCUGAUGCUCGAAGGUGCGGGAAUCAAACAGGAUUAGAUACCCUGGUAGUCCGCACGGUAAACGAUGAUUACCCGCUGUCGGCGGCAGACAGUCGGCGGCCAAGCGAAAGCGAUAAGUAAUCCACCUGGGGAGUACGCCGGCAACGGUGAAACUCAAAUGAAUUGACGGGG